UACGGAGGUGGCAAGCGUUGUUCGGAAUUACUGGGCGUAAAGGGCGCGUAGGCGGCAUGGCAAGUCAGAUGUGAAAGCCCCGGGCUUAACCUGGGAAUUGCAUCUGAAACUGUUGUGCUUGAGUUCUGGAGGGGGUAGUGGAAUUCCCAGUGUAGCGGUGAAAUGCGUAGAUAUUGGGAGGAACACCUGCGGCGAAGGCGGCUACCUGGACAGAUACUGACGCUGAGGCGCGAAAGCUAGGGGAGCAAACGGG
RNAcentral lists this ribosomal RNA (253 nucleotides) under uncultured bacterium. RNAcentral's name for it is "partial 16S ribosomal RNA". It matches the Rfam family "Bacterial small subunit ribosomal RNA", at positions 524 to 776 of the family's 1533-position model. The record is from RNAcentral.